CAGUUAAUGGUCCUCAUUUAGGUUUUAGCUG
This 31-nucleotide non-coding RNA is filed under the name Rattus norvegicus (Norway rat). Lineage: Eukaryota; Metazoa; Chordata; Mammalia; Rodentia; Muridae. The record is from RNAcentral.